RNAcentral lists this long non-coding RNA (843 nucleotides) under Mytilus galloprovincialis (Mediterranean mussel). Lineage: Eukaryota; Metazoa; Mollusca; Bivalvia; Mytilida; Mytilidae. The record is from RNAcentral.
CUCCCGUGUAGUCAUCUUUCUGAUAAAUUUGAUUUGUUUCACUAUCAACGAUGUAGACAUGUCAUUGAUCAGUUUAUUUGGUAACAUUAUCAACGAGGUAGACAUAUCUAUGAUCAGUUUAGUUUGUAACAGUAUCUCCAGUGUGGACAUCGUUCUGAUCCCGUUAGUUUGUAACAAUAUCUUCUUUGUAAAAUUAUGUAUGUAAAGUUUGGUUUCUCACAGUAUCUUAAGUGUAGACAUCCGUUUAAUUUGUAACAGUAUUUCCGGUGUAAAGAUAUUCAUUAUAAGUUGGUUUGUUACAGUAUCUCCGAUGUAAACAUCCCUAUUUUAUGUUAGGUUUAUUAUAGUAUCUCCGAGAAGACAUCCCUCUGGUCAGUUAGAUUUAUUAUAUUAUGUACGUUGUAGAACUAUCUCUGUUCAGUUUGGUUUGUUACUGUUACUACAGUGUAGACAUUUCUCUGUUCAUUUUAGUUUGUUACAUAAUCUACGGUGAUAACAUAUAUCUUAUUCGAUGUAUUUCUACAUCAUCAACAGUGUAAAAUAUGUGUAUUAUAUCUGCUCAGUUUCGUUUGUUACAGUACCUCCAGUGCAGGUAUCUCUAUGAUCACUUCUAAUGUAUAACAGUAUUAACGAUGUAGACUUAUCUGACCUGUUUGGAUUGAUCAAUUAUCUUGUGUGAAGACACUUUACUGACCAAUUGUUUUUUUUUCAGUAUCUGCUGCGUAGACAUAUCACAUAAAACACUGUCAUACCAUAUUUUGUGUGAUAUAUCAAUCUGUGUAUGUUAUUCUGCUGUUAUUCCGUAUCAACUUCACAAAUAAUACAGGAUGGUCUUGAUGUAUA